Molecule: RNA transcript, 3201 nt
Organism: Acomys russatus (golden spiny mouse)
Lineage: Eukaryota; Metazoa; Chordata; Mammalia; Rodentia; Muridae
Gene: Dpf3
Gene name: double PHD fingers 3
Exons: 10
Source: RefSeq, a predicted model, not a curated record
CUGAGCGAACCUUUAGAACUCUGAGACAGACAAUAUUCUGUUACAUUGUAGCAAAAUGGCGACUGUCAUUCACAACCCCCUGAAAGCGCUUGGGGACCAGUUCUACAAGGAAGCCAUUGAGCACUGCCGAAGCUACAACUCACGGCUAUGCGCUGAGCGGAGCGUGCGUCUCCCUUUCCUGGACUCACAGACUGGAGUCGCCCAGAAUAACUGCUACAUCUGGAUGGAGAAGAGGCACCGAGGCCCGGGCCUUGCUCCAGGCCAGCUAUACACAUAUCCUGCUCGCUGCUGGCGCAAGAAGCGACGAUUGCACCCACCAGAGGACCCAAAGCUGCGACUUCUGGAAAUAAAACCUGAAGCAGAGCUGCCCCUGAAGAAAGAUGGCUUCACCUCCGAGAGUACCACACUGGAAGCCUUGCUCCGUGGUGAGGGAGUGGAGAAGAAGGUGGAUGCCAGAGAAGAGGAAAGCAUCCAGGAGAUACAGAGGGUUUUGGAAAAUGAUGAAAACGUAGACGAAGGGAACGAAGAGGAGGAUUUGGAAGAAGACACUCCCAAGCGCAAGAAUAGGACCAGAGGACGGGCUCGUGGCUCUGCGGGUGGCAGGAGGAGGCAUGAUGCUGCCUCUCAGGAAGACCACGACAAACCCUACGUCUGUGACAUCUGUGGCAAGCGCUACAAGAACCGGCCGGGACUCAGCUACCACUACGCUCACACCCACCUGGCCAGUGAGGAGGGAGACGAAAGCCAAGACCAGGAGACCCGGUCCCCGCCCAACCACAGAAAUGAGAACCACAGACCCCAGAAAGGACCAGACGGGACAGUCAUUCCCAAUAACUACUGUGAUUUCUGCUUGGGGGGCUCCAACAUGAACAAGAAGAGUGGAAGGCCUGAAGAGCUGGUGUCGUGUGCAGACUGUGGACGCUCUGCUCAUUUGGGAGGAGAAGGCAGGAAGGAGAAGGAGGCAGCGGCUGCAGCACGUACCACGGAGGACUUAUUCGGUUCCACGUCAGAAAGUGACACCUCAACUUUCUACGGCUUUGAUGAGGACGAUUUGGAAGAGCCUCGCUCCUGUCGAGGACGCCGCAGUGGCCGGGGUUCACCCACAGCAGAUAAAAAAGGCAGCUGCUGAUCACAUGGGACAGACUGUCUGGCCAAUUAGCCACCCCCUCUGACUCUGGUCAUUGUUCUAGUUCUGAUAUAUAUUUUUAAAUGAAAGACGACUUGGGCGUUUCCCUUUAUCCUUGCUUUUUUCCUUCUACCUUCCGUGUGUCCCUUCCCCUCCUCACAUCCUCCUAUUUUGAGUACAACUGAAGCACAAACUACUGAAAACAAAAACAACAAAAGAGCAGGAUGAGAGUCUCCUCUGGGGAGAGAUGGCAUCAUGGUGGGCUGUUUAUUUCCCCCAGAAAUAGGAAAUUAGGUGGAUUUUUCCUUCUGCUGGGGGGUGGGCAUCUUUUUGACACGAGCAGAGUUGAUUUCCUUAGUUCUCAAGAGAAGAAGAACAUGAAGUUGGGAAACAAAGAACAAAUAACAUUAACAAUUAUUAUUUAUAUAUAAUAGCUAUUAUUAGAUUCAGAUGCAAUGGGGGGGGGGAAGAGAGAGAGAGAGAGAGAGAGAGAGAGAGAGAGAGAGAGAGAGAGAGAGAGAGAGAGAGAGAAUGAGAAUGAGAAUCAAAGAAAGUAAUCUCUUGUUUAGAGGCAAGCCAGUGUGUGUGUGUGUGUGUGUGUGUGUGUGUGCGCGCGCAUAGGAUUUCCUCAAUGGCAGUUGGUGACUCCAGAGAGCAGACCCCUCUGCAUGUCUCCUCCAUGACCUUUCUGCUUGUGAGAAAUGGCAACCAUCCCAGAGAAGGCUGGGGCCACUUAACAACUGGCCUUCCUCCAGCGCUGGCCCUGACCAGCAGUGGCUGCCUCCCUCGGCUCCUCUCCUCUUUCCUUGUUGCUGGGUUUUCCUCACUUUCCUCCUGGCAAAGAUCAGCUUCUGAAAACACAGAAUGGAAUGUCAGCAGAUCACAGGCUCCGCUCACUCUGACAGAGCAACUGAGGCCGGGGCAUCCCUGGAAGGACAAGAGAUACUGUACAGUGUAUCUCCCCUCCCUUCGCCCUUGUGUGAAAACAUGUAGCCGCCCACUGGAUGAUGCCGUCUUCUGUAUUUCUUCUACUUUUUUUUUUUUAUAGUGCCUGCUAGGCACGUUGUUUUAUCUUUCCAAUAGCAUUUCCUGAAAUAAACCAAAGCAUCACUUGGUCCUGAGGCCUCAGGGAUAGAGAAGACUGUCCCAUUGGCAGUCCCUGAGAACAGAGCAGCUGGGAGGCCCUGCUUAAACAGUUCACUCUGUGACCCAGGAACUGCGCAUCCUUCAAGCAAGCCAUUCCUGAAGAAGGUGAAGAGAAUGCAGAUGACAAGCCUCCUCCUCCUCUCUUGCCCUGCCCUUCCUGAGUGUGAAUUUCAGCUAAUACUGGAGUCAGCAGGGAUUGGACAGAAAAGCCUCCAGUGUCUCUCACUCAGCUCGGCCAAGUUUCAGAAAUGGCUCAAGUUUGUGCAAUAAGAAGAUUUUAUCUUUUUUCGCCCCCUUUAAAAAUUCUUCAUUGCCUUUGCCUGGAAUGCCUGUGAGAAAGAGCCAGCCCGGACUGGAGAUUGUUCUGCAAAGAAACAACAACAUAAACUGACAAAGACAAAAAUAAAAGUGAACUAUUUUAUUUAUUUCAAUAUUUAAAAGAAAAAAGUGCUGAAAUUGCACAGUAUUUUUGUUUAAAGUACCUUCUACUUCAAAGGUGUAAAAAAAAAAGGCAAUUUUGUGAAGACCUGAAAUCAAAAGAGUGCUUACUGUAAAAUAAAGGUGUCAUAUUGACUCCAAGGAAAAGUACCCCACAUUUUAAAUAAGGAAAUAAAGAUCAACUCUGCUCUCUCAGGCUUUUAAGAAAGCCGUUCGUGUAUGUGCUUUAGGUAUGUUUUUAUUUCUGUGAGUUGGAUGUGGUAAGUGAGGGGUGGUCAGUUCUUCUUCCAAAGCCCACUGCAAAGUAUUGUUGACAUUAAUUACGUGUUAGGAUCUGACUGAAAUAAACUAGCCCCAAACCAGCAGUGUAACCCCUUCCCAGCUGCCCCUCCCCUCAGAUGUAACCCAUUGAUCUGAAAUUAAAGCUACAGCCUACCCAUCUCAUCUCAUGAGGCAUGCGUCCGGAAGGAACUCUACCCACCAACUGAAUG